UGGCAGGUGCCUUUUCAUCUGCCACAUCAUCAAAUGCCACGUCAGUCUAAACAUCAGAAAAAAUCUACCAAUCAAUCAAUAUUCUCUUUCUUUCCUAGGUUGAAACACCGCCAUUGAAAUUUCUCUUUGUCUUCCUCUUCCACCACUGUUGGUUUUCGUCUACUGCCAUUACUGUCGGCUUCCCUCUCCUAGCACCACUACCAUCUUCCAUUUAACAGAAGCUUUGAAAUCAGUUGUAUUCAUGAUUGUGCAGAAGUUGUGGUCUCAACGACCUAGCUUGGAGAAGAGAUUGAAAGUGCUCAAGGAGACUUCUGCUGAAAUUUGUGUCACUCUUCAUUUGGAGGAAGAUGUUUGUAAACGUGCGUACUUGAACAUUCUAAACAGCUUGUUAAUGUUUCAUCUCUAGAUAAUUAUUUUCUAUGUUUAUAGGAACAAAAGCUACAAGACCCUAACAGAUCAGCUACCUUUGAUAAUGCUAAGCUCGGUGUUGAUACACAAAGUUUGUUUGCAGAUUUGAAAGUGGACCAAGUAAAAUAAUUAUUUUUAA
Mangifera indica (mango) is the source of this 547-nucleotide long non-coding RNA. RefSeq lists it as uncharacterized. The transcript is spliced from 2 exons. The record is from RefSeq and is a predicted model, not a curated record. Lineage: Eukaryota; Viridiplantae; Streptophyta; Magnoliopsida; Sapindales; Anacardiaceae.